Molecule: long non-coding RNA, 126 nt
Organism: Telopea speciosissima
Lineage: Eukaryota; Viridiplantae; Streptophyta; Magnoliopsida; Proteales; Proteaceae
Exons: 2
Source: RefSeq, a predicted model, not a curated record
GCCAUUCGGUCAAGUCCCAGCCUAUGAAGACGGAGUUCUGAAACUCUUUGAAUCGAGAGCGACUACCAAGCACAUCGCAAUUGAGCACUAAGGGAAGGGAACAGAGCUGAUCUACCAUGACGUGAA